GACGAACGCUGGCGGCGUGCUUAACACAUGCAAGUCGAACGGAAAGGCCCUGCUUUUGUGGGGUGCUCGAGUGGCGAACGGGUGAGUAACACGUGAGUAACCUGCCCUUGACUUUGGGAUAACUUCAGGAAACUGGGGCUAAUACCGGAUAGGAGCUCCUGCUGCAUGGUGGGGGUUGGAAAGUUUCGGCGGUUGGGGAUGGACUCGCGGCUUAUCAGCUUGUUGGUGGGGUAGUGGCUUACCAAGGCUUUGACGGGUAGCCGGCCUGAGAGGGUGACCGGCCACAUUGGGACUGAGAUACGGCCCAGACUCCUACGGGAGGCAGCAGUGGGGAAUAUUGCACAAUGGGCGGAAGCCUGAUGCAGCAACGCCGCGUGCGGGAUGACGGCCUUCGGGUUGUAAACCGCCUUCGCCUGUGACGAAGCGUGAGUGACGGUAAUGGGGAAAGAAGCACCGGCUAACUACGU
This 467-nucleotide ribosomal RNA is filed under the name uncultured bacterium. RNAcentral describes it as "partial 16S ribosomal RNA". It matches the Rfam family "Bacterial small subunit ribosomal RNA", at positions 28 to 506 of the family's 1533-position model. The record is from RNAcentral.